This 312-nucleotide ribosomal RNA is filed under the name Triticum aestivum (bread wheat). RNAcentral's name for it is "partial small subunit ribosomal RNA". The record is from RNAcentral. Lineage: Eukaryota; Viridiplantae; Streptophyta; Magnoliopsida; Poales; Poaceae.
AUGGGAUGUACUCUCAAAAUGGAAGACGCGAUGCUCGCUCUGCCAGGUAGCUAUGGGUCCAAAGUGUGCAUAACUCUUGCUAACCUGGACAUACUGUCUUCUAGAAACAGGAUUGUUGGUGUUGAGCUGUUGAUCACUCUAUUGAGUGGAUUGCUGAAAGAGGGCGCCGGUUGGAGUCGGUUGAAGACAACGGUGCAUAAAACACAUGGGCCUGCUCUUAAUCUCAGGACGCCAUGGGAGAAAGCGCGUGACCUUCUAGUAUUCUUGAAUAGUGGAGAUGAUUCUUUAUUCACCAUGGAAGAUUUGUGCUAA